This 947-nucleotide long non-coding RNA is filed under the name Heterocephalus glaber (naked mole-rat). RNAcentral describes it as "lncRNA (ENSHGLG00000047941.1)". Lineage: Eukaryota; Metazoa; Chordata; Mammalia; Rodentia; Bathyergidae. The record is from RNAcentral.
CUAUGUGAGAGAAAAGGUUUACUUGGGUUUAUUGUUCUGGAGGCUUUAGUCCAUAAUUGAAUGGACCCAUUUUUUGGGCCAGUGUUGAAGCAGGAGAUCAUGUCAAGAGUGUGCAAUAAAGCAAACCACUUACCUUGUGGCCUGGAAGUAAAGGAGGAAGAAGAAGAUACAGGGGCCCUACAGUCUCCUUCAAUGGCACCUUCCUCAUUUCCUAAGGACUUCUAGUAGGCUCCGUCUUCUAAAGGUUCCAUCACCUCCCAGUAGCACCACCCUGGGGACCAAGCCUUUAAAACAAAGACUUUUGAGGACACUUCCCCAAACUAUAGCAGAACAAGCACUUUCUGAAGUUCAGAGUACUUUGGGAACAAUGAAAUAAAGCCUUUUAAAUUAACGCUGUUCAGAAAAUUCAGAACAUACAGUUGUCAUCAUGUUAUUUUGUCAAACUGUCCUGGAAAAGAACGUGGAGCACCAGGAACCAAACAGGUUGAAUUCUGCAAGGUUCUACUGCAGGUUCCAGCUGCCCUUGCCCUGAAGAUAGUCCAGGUUCCGAUGGGAGAUCUCUACUGUGAAAAAUCGCCACUUUCCACCAUCAUCUCAAACACCUGGAUUGUCAGAUACUAUCAUUUCUGAAACUGCUUCUUGCUCCUUUGAGCCUGCUCUUCUGACCUGUACAAGAGGAAGUCUACUCCCCUGAGACCUCUGGAGGACCAUAAGAUGAGAGAACACAUUCUCAAAUUCAACCAGGAAGUGAUGGUACCAAGAUGGGGGACCACUUUGGCUGAACCUAAGACUUGUUCCUUUUAUCAAAGUGCUUUGAUAGGCCAUGAAUGUGUACAGCUGGCCCUCCUCAUCUACAGAUUCAACUAACUACAGGUAGUACAACCUAUGGAUGGUGGCAGAGAGGAAAACAGCCUGUUCUGCCCAUGAGAUCCUGGUGAGGGGCAGAA